This 324-nucleotide RNase P RNA is filed under the name bovine gut metagenome. RNAcentral's name for it is "Bacterial RNase P class A". It matches the Rfam family "Bacterial RNase P class A". From Rfam's summary of the family: Ribonuclease P (RNase P) is a ubiquitous endoribonuclease, found in archaea, bacteria and eukarya as well as chloroplasts and mitochondria. Its best characterised activity is the generation of mature 5'-ends of tRNAs by cleaving the 5'-leader elements of precursor-tRNAs. The record is from RNAcentral.
CGAACAAUCGCGGAGAUUAUUCUCUGAGGAAAGUCCGAGCUCCAUAGGGCAAGGAUGCCGGAUAACGUCCGGUGGAGGCGACUCUAAGGAAAGUGCAACAGAAAAUUACCGCCCGCUUUUGCGGGUAAGGGUGGAAAGGUGAGGUAAGAGCUCACCGGCGGUAUGGAGACAUACCGACCGUGUAAACCCCAUCCGGAGCAACACCAUAAAGGGAAGAAUUAAGUCGGCCCGACGCUCUUCCGGGUUGGUGGCUACAGCUUUGCAGCAAUGCACUGCGCAGAUAGAUGAUUGUUCAAGACAGAACUCGGCUUACAGAUUUACUCG